Molecule: ribosomal RNA, 198 nt
Filed under: uncultured bacterium
Lineage: Bacteria
Description: partial 16S ribosomal RNA
Rfam family: Bacterial small subunit ribosomal RNA
Source: RNAcentral
ACGCUCGACACCUACGGGAAGCAGCAGUGGGGAAUAUUGCACAAUGGGGGAAACCCUGAUGCAGCGACGCCGCGUGAGUGAAGAAGUAUUUCGGUAUGUAAAGCUCUAUCAGCAGGGAAGAAGAUGACGGUACCUGAGUAAGAAGCCCCGGCUAACUACGUGCCAGCAGCCGCGGUAAUCUGAGCGGGCUGGCAAGGC